CGAACGGAGAGCGUAUGACAGAGGAUUCGUCCAAUGGAUUACGUGUCUUAGUGGCGGACGGGUGAGUAACGCGUGAGGAACCUGCCUCGGAGUGGGGAAUAACACAACGAAAGCUGUGCUAAUACCGCAUAAUGCAGCUGGGUCGCAUGACUCUGGCUGCCAAAGAUUUAUCGCUCUGAGAUGGCCUCGCGUCUGAUUAGCUGGUUGGCGGGGUAACGGCCCACCAAGGCGACGAUCAGUAGCCGGACUGAGAGGUUGGCCGGCCACAUUGGGACUGAGACACGGCCCAGACUCCUACGGGAGGCAGCAGUGGGGAAUAUUGGGCAAUGGGCGCAAGCCUGACCCAGCAACGCCGCGUGAAGGAAGAAGGCCCUCGGGUUGUAAACUUCUUUUGUCAGGGACGAAGCAAGUGACGGUACCUGACGAAUAAGCCACGGCUAACUACGUGCCAGCAGCCGCGGUAAUACGUAGGUGGCAAGCGUUAUCCGGAUUUACUGGGUGUAAAGGGCGUGUAGGCGGGAUUGCAAGUCAGAUGUGAAAACCACGGGCUCAACCUGUGGCCUGCAUUUGAAACUGCAGUUCUUGAGUACUGGAGAGGCAGACGGAAUUCCUAGUGUAGCGGUGAAAUGCGUAGAUAUUAGGAGGAACACCAGUGGCGAAGGCGGUCUGCUGGACAGCAACUGACGCUGAGGCGCGAAAGCGUGGGGAGCAAACAGG
This 717-nucleotide ribosomal RNA is filed under the name uncultured Lachnospiraceae bacterium. Its description in RNAcentral is "bacterial SSU rRNA". It matches the Rfam family "Bacterial small subunit ribosomal RNA", at positions 58 to 776 of the family's 1533-position model. Lineage: Bacteria; Bacillati; Bacillota; Clostridia; Lachnospirales; Lachnospiraceae. The record is from RNAcentral.